This 77-nucleotide transfer RNA is filed under the name Gammaproteobacteria bacterium. RNAcentral's name for it is "tRNA-Arg". It matches the Rfam family "tRNA". From Rfam's summary of the family: Transfer RNA (tRNA) molecules are approximately 80 nucleotides in length. Their secondary structure includes four short double-helical elements and three loops (D, anti-codon, and T loops). The record is from RNAcentral. Lineage: Bacteria; Pseudomonadati; Pseudomonadota; Gammaproteobacteria.
GCGCCCGUAGCUCAGCUGGAUAGAGCACUGCCCUCCGAAGGCAGGGGUCGUGAGUUCGAAUCUCGCCGGGCGCGCCA